CUUCUACAGUAGAGCGGGACAUUUAAUUUACUCUCAGCGGAAUUGACCGGAGAAGGCAUCAGUUCAUGCACUGCACUGGCCUGCACCAUGAUUAGUAUAAGGCACAUUUCACGAAGCAGAACGCAGUCUUCAGAGAUAUCCACGUGAACGCUGUGAUACGUCUGACCUUCAGUCCGAAGAAGAAACCCAGACCAGUCUUAAAAGAAAGCACAAACCAAAUCCCCUGUACACAUAUACGGACUCAGAGGAUGAGUUUUUUUGUGGGGAAAGCCUACAAAAAAACGGUUUCCCCAGGCCCCUCGAGUGAAAAUACCAGCCCUCAUCACUCCGCAGUCUGCCCCCCAGCCCACUGAUAGCAACCAUCAUAAUGCCCCACCCAGCUUCCGGCACCUUUCGCCACGCCGG
Pelmatolapia mariae (spotted tilapia) is the source of this 405-nucleotide long non-coding RNA. RefSeq lists it as uncharacterized. The transcript is spliced from 4 exons. The record is from RefSeq and is a predicted model, not a curated record. Lineage: Eukaryota; Metazoa; Chordata; Actinopteri; Cichliformes; Cichlidae.